Molecule: ribosomal RNA, 290 nt
Filed under: uncultured Peptoniphilus sp.
Lineage: Bacteria; Bacillati; Bacillota; Tissierellia; Tissierellales; Peptoniphilaceae
Description: partial 16S ribosomal RNA
Rfam family: Bacterial small subunit ribosomal RNA
Source: RNAcentral
CCUUUCGGGAUGAAAAAUAUUGGAUUAGCGGCGGACGGGUGAGUAACACGUGAGUAACCUGCCUUUUACACAGGGAUAGCCUCGGGAAACCGGGAUUAAAACCUGAUGAAACUAUCAAAUCACAUGAUUAAGAAAGUUAAAACUCCGGUGGUAAAAGAUGGACUCGCGUCCCAUUAGCUAGUUGGUGAAGGUAACGGCCCACCAAGGCAACGAUGGGUAGCCGGCCUGAGAGGGUGAACGGCCACAUUGGAACUGAGAAACGGUCCAAACUCCUACGGGAGGCAGCAGGU